Molecule: ribosomal RNA, 301 nt
Filed under: uncultured bacterium
Lineage: Bacteria
Description: partial 16S ribosomal RNA
Rfam family: Bacterial small subunit ribosomal RNA
Source: RNAcentral
CAGUCGCCGCGGUAACACGAAGGGGGCUAGCGUUGUUCGGAUUUACUGGGCGUAAAGGGCGCGUAGGCGGGCGAAUAAGUCAGGGGUGAAAUCCCAAGGCUCAACCUUGGAACUGCCUUUGAUACUGUUUGUCUUGAGUCCGAGAGAGGUAAGUGGAACUGCGAGUGUAGAGGUGAAAUUCGUAGAUAUUCGCAAGAACACCAGUGGCGAAGGCGGCUUACUGGCUCGAAACUGACGCUGAGGCGCGAAAGCGUGGGGAGCAAACAGGAUUAGAGACCCCGGUAGUCCCUGUCUCUUAUAC